RNAcentral lists this long non-coding RNA (4176 nucleotides) under Sus scrofa (pig). Its description in RNAcentral is "lncRNA (ENSSSCG00000050894.1)". The record is from RNAcentral. Lineage: Eukaryota; Metazoa; Chordata; Mammalia; Artiodactyla; Suidae.
CACAUAUAGCUAUUUUUCCCUUUGCAAUUAUGUCUUUGGGAGGAAUUCCAAACAGUGGGAUUACUGGGUCAAAUAGCACAGCAUAUUUAUGGCCCUGGAUAUGGUGGGACUGGCUCAUUCUCAGACCCCAGCCCGACCCUACUGUCCCCAAGGUUUUUCUCUGAGUGAUGCCCAUGAAAGUCCCUUCCCAUUGGUGCCUGAAGCUACCCCAGUGCAUAGAGGUGCUCCCUCUGGCUCCUGGGGACUGGGGGCCAGGUGCAGUGCAGGGGAGCUGGGGUAGGGGCUGUUGGAGGGGUUAGAAGGAGUUGGCUGUGGGGACAGUGGAGAUGAGGCAUGGCCCCCAGUUUCUGGGGCCAGGAGCCCUGUUUGGGGGCACAGGAAGUCCUCUCCCGGGCCCCUUCCUUCUCUUGGAUCAUUUCUCUCCUGUCCCAGAGCCCCCACCUCUGAGUCUAAGAGGGGACCAUCAUCUCCCUGGGGCCCACAGAGAGCAGAGAGGGGGCUCUGGUGCAUCUGCUCUUCCUGACCUCCCUCCCCAAGGCAGAGGACCAGGCCAGGGAGAAACAGGAGGUGUGUAAACUGGUUUUGAGCAAACUUCUGUGGAGUUCCUGUCACGGCUCAGCAGAUUACAAACCUGACUAGACCCAUGAGGAUGCGAGUUCAAUCCCUGGCCUCUCUCAGUGGCUUUAGGAUCUGACAUUGCUGCAAACUGUGAUGUAGUUUGUAGACACGUCUUGGAUCCUGCAUGGCUGUGGCUGUGGUGUAGGCUGGCAGCUGUAGGUCUGAUUUGACCCCUAGCCUGGGAAUCUCUUUAUGCUAUGGGUGAAGCCCUAAAAAGCAAAACAAACAAACAAAAAAAAAAAAGUCUGCAUUAUUGUAAAAAAUGGGUUUGGGAUUCCAUCUCCCCCUGAACGUGCUCUGUCUGCCUUCUUCCCAGUCACCUGCCUCCAGCCCUCACUUCCUCAGCUCCCUGAGCUCCCGCCACCACCACCCCCAGUAAACUAUCAUCAGUGCCCAGAUCCGGGGGCCUAGAUGGUGGAAGGGAAGGGAUCCCCACACCAGCCCCUCUGGGCCCUGCCCCAGAACCUCAGGAUGCCCAGGAUGCCCCCCUCCCAGGCAUGCCUUCCCUGUCCUGGGGAGACUCACUCACAGUUUGGGGAGUUGGCUUGCUUGGCAUUUAAGGGGACCGCUGAGGUUUCACUCCACUGAUGGCCUCAUGCAUUAGAACGUGUAGCGUGGUGGGAGGAGGGGUCUGCUCUUCCUAAGAGCUCAGCCCCUCGCUCAGCACAUCGUGGUUGACAGUGGCGGCUUGGGCAUGGCCAAGGCUGGGAGGGAGGAGUCGGGCCAAGUCCCUGGGCCCUUCCCUCCAGGCCAGGAGCCAGCUGUCUCUGUACCUUCUUCCCUUGGUCCUUCUGGCCUCCAAGCUUCUGGUGGCAGGUUCUGGGAGACAGUGCAGAAAGAACACAGGACUUGAGAGUUCUCGCCCCGUCUCUGCCACUACCUGGCUGCAUGAUCCAGGCCCCUGCCCUCUCUGUCCUCAGCUGUCACACCAGGCGCUGACUCUCACUCCUGCCUUGUGGCUCCUGUGGUAGCUUCUAUCAAGGCCCCGGUGGGGUGAGCUUUUCAGGUGGCUGACCUCCACACAGCUUGCCAUGUGGCUGGCACCCAAAUGGGGUGGGAAUCUGGAAGGAAGCUGAUCCCUGCCUCCCAAUGGCAGCCCUUGGCCUUGGCCUGGCACGAGUCCCCUCUGGGGUUAGGGCCAUCAGCCCCAUUUCUUCAUCUUCACCCUCCUUUUCCCAAGCGUCACUCUGCUUCGAGGAGAUGGGGAGCUUUUUGCCAGCUGAUGAGGGGAACAGUGGCUGCUGGAGCAUGUGGGAGCAAUUGGGGGGCUGUGUGGGCUGUGUGAUUUUCCCGGACAGGCAUACGUGAGAGAGAGAAGAAAUUAUUCUGUCUAAAAUCUCAGAGACGAGCUCAUCUCCAGAGCUGGCAGAAUGACUGCUGUAUGUCUGGCUGGGGAGGUAUGAGAUAGGAUGGGUUUCAGGGGCAGGAGCGAGGUGGGAAUGACCCUUGGAGGCCACAGCCACCAAGAGAACUUUUCUUUUUUUUCUAAUGGCCACAGCUGCAGCACAUGGACAUUCCUGGGCCAGGGAUUGAAUCUCAGCCAUAGCUAUGACUGACACAGGAGCUUUUAACCACUGCCCUGGGCCAGGGAUCAAACCCACAUCUCCUCAGCAACCUGAGCCUCUGCAGGCAAAUUCUUUUUCCCCCGCAGCAUGUGGAAGUUCCUAGGCUAGGGGUCAUAUCAGAGCUGCAGCUGCCAGCCUGCACCACAGCCACAGCAACGCAGGAUCUGAGCCACAUCUGCGACCUACACCGCAGGUCAUUACAAUGCUGGAUCCUUAACCCACUGAGUGGAGCCAGGGAAUCAAAUCCACGUCCUCAUGGAUACUACUCGGGUUACCACUCGUGUUACCACCGAACCACAACAGUAAUUCCAGUAGGCGAAUUCUUAACCCGCUGUGCCACAGUGGGAACUCUCCUAGAUAACCUUUUAUGUUUGCCCAGAUGUCACCCCUUAUAAAAAGCCAUGGCACCCACCCACAUGGAGAUGAUGGUUCUGAAGAUGAAGCCAGGAGGGGACCAUGGAAGCAAAGUGCAGCUGUGGUUUAUCUUCUGAAUCCUCAGGCAGGAUUUGCCAAAGAUCCCCCCACCCCUGCCCCCAGCAUCUACCUUCAGAAGUGUGUCUUUCCUGCUGGAGGAGGAGAAAGAUUGGAUUGGGAAGAAGGUUGUCCUACUGGACCCCAAGUCCCAGGGGAAGGCUUGACAACUCUCUGGAUUCAGGGGGACUCUAGGAAUCUGUUGGACUCCUAGUUCUCUGCCAUGGUGAUUUUUUUUCCCACCAUGGAAAAGGAACCAGCUAAUGAUGGCUAGAAACGAAACCCUCUCCAGGAAUCUCUAGCUUCUUUCCUGGAGGCAUUUGCUUUAUAUAAUGGGAAUAUAUAUAUUGGUGGUAACAGGCCAGGUAAGAGGAGAUCGGGUAGGGGGUCUUGGUGAAAGGUCCUUGUGAUAGUCACUGGCACUGUUCACAAACGUUCAAAUCUCUUUUAUUCCAGGGCAUUGUAGGAGAUGACUCCCCAUCCACUUCAAUUCAGGUCUGACCAUCUCACUUGCUUUGACCAAUGAGUAAAAUUGUGACCAAUAAAAAGCAAUGUGGGUGUGACUUCCAGGCAGAAGCAUUAAGUGGUCCACCUUGUCUCUGAGAUCCCAGACACACCUGUUGAGAUGAAGCCUCCGUCACACUGGGUCACUGAGUGGCUGACAUAGAGCACCUCCCUGCUCACCUACAAUGGACAUGUUGCAUGCAAGAAAUUGAUCUACUGUUGGAGCCAUUGAGAUAUGGGGACUGUUUUUUACUACAGCUUAACCUAGCCUCUUGGGCUGAUACAGUCACCAAGCUGGCCAAUGAGAACCUUGCCCAGGACUUUUCGGUUAGGAUCUGGGCCUUUCUAGUGAGCUGGACCCAUCGUAUGUAAACCUUGCUGCUGUGUUUUCCACCAUAGGAAUGUGUAAGCCAGAACAUAAUUUUUUAAAGAGAGAAAAGAAAGCAGGCACUCAGCGAGGAGGCGAUAGCUACAUCCCCAGCAUUCCAUUUCCUGCCUCAGAUCCAGAUGCAUAAAAAUCCCCUGGGUCCUUUUAUGAACCUUUUCUCCCUAUAUUAUACAAGCCUGGGUUGAUUUAGUUGGAUCUCAAUCAAGAGUCCUAACGCAGAGUGAAAGGGGAUUCGGGACAAGCCUCCAUUUUCCAGAUGAGGUGCUGAGGGUUCGAGGGGGGAAGUGACUUGGCCAAAGUCAUAGAGCCAUUGAGGACACAUUUGCUUCCUUUCUUGGGAAAAUAAUUCAAGCAAUAAAGAUACAAUGCUAGUCUUCCUAUCUCACCCUCCUAAUCCCAUUCUCCAAAAUUAGGAGUUCUCAGUGUGGCUCAGUGGGUUAAGAACCCGACAUAGUGUCUGUGAGGAUGUCGGUUCUUUCCCUGGUCUUGAUCAAUGGGUUAAGGAUCCAGUGUUGCCUCAAGCUGUGUCAUAGGUGGCAGACACAGCUCAGAUCUGGUGUUGCUAUGGUGGUGGCCUCAGCUGCAGCUCUGAUUCGACCCCUGGCCUGGGAACUUCCAAAUGCCACAGGU